Molecule: ribosomal RNA, 480 nt
Filed under: uncultured bacterium
Lineage: Bacteria
Description: partial 16S ribosomal RNA
Rfam family: Bacterial small subunit ribosomal RNA
Source: RNAcentral
GACGAACGCUGGCAGCGUGCUUAACACAUGCAAGUCGAACGGUAAGGCCCUUCGGGGGUACACGAGUGGCGAACGGGUGAGUAACACGUGUGUGAUCUGCCCUGCACUUCGGGAUACGCCUGGGAAUCUGGGUCUAAUACCGGAUAGGACCACUGUCUGCAUGGGGGGUGGUGUGGAGCUUUUGCGGUGUGGGAUGGGCCCGCGGCCUAUCAGCUUGUUGGUGGGGUGAUGGCCUACCAAGGCGACGACGGGUAGCCGGCCUGAGGGGGGUGACCGGCCACACUGGGACUGAGAUACGGCCCAGACUCCUACGGGAGGCAGCAGUGGGGAAUAUUGCACAAUGGGCGAAAGCCUGAUGCAGCGACGCCGCGUGAGGGAUGACGGCCUUCGGGUUGUAAACCUCUUUCAGCACCGACGAGGCGCAAGUGACGGUAGGUGCAGAAGAAGGACCGGCCAACUACGUGCCAGCCGCCGCAGUAA